UACGUAGGCUGCGAGCGUUGUUCGGAGUUACUGGGCGUAAAGAGUGCGUAGGCGGUUUUCUAAGUUUGGUGUGAAAUCUCCCGGCUUAACUGGGAGGGUGCGCCGAAGACUGGAAGGCUUGAGUAUGGGAGAGGUAAGCGGAAUUCCUGGUGUAGCGGUGAAAUGCGUAGAUAUCAGGAGGAACACCUGCGGUGUAGACGGCUUACUGGACCAUCACUGACGCUGAGGCACGAAAGCGUGGGUAGCAAACAGG
RNAcentral lists this ribosomal RNA (253 nucleotides) under uncultured bacterium. Its description in RNAcentral is "partial 16S ribosomal RNA". It matches the Rfam family "Bacterial small subunit ribosomal RNA", at positions 524 to 776 of the family's 1533-position model. The record is from RNAcentral.